AGUGAACGCUGGCGGCAGGCCUAAUACAUGCAAGUCGAACGGCAGCACAGCAGAGCUUGCUCUGUGGGUGGCGAGUGGCGGACGGGUGAGGAAUACGUGGGAAUCUGCCCGGUCGUGGGGGAUAACGUAGGGAAACUUACGCUAAUACCGCAUGCGCCCUUCGGGGGAAAGCCGGGGACCUUCGGGCCUGGCGCGAUUGGAUGAGCCCACGUCGGAUUAGCUAGUUGGCGGGGUAAAGCCCACCAAGGCGACGAUCCGUAGCUGGUCUGAGAGGAUGAUCAGCCACACUGGAACUGAGACACGGUCCAGACUCCUACGGGAGCAGCAGUAGGGAAUAUUGGACAAUGGGCGCAAGCCUGAUCCAGCCAUGCCGCGUGAGUGAAGAAGGCCCUCGGGUUGUAAAGCUCUUUUGUCCGGAAAGAAAGCGCCGGGUUAAUACCCUGGUGUCCUGACGGUACCGAAGAAUGAGCACCGGCUAACUUCGUGCCAGCAGCCGCGGUAAU
RNAcentral lists this ribosomal RNA (503 nucleotides) under uncultured bacterium. RNAcentral describes it as "bacterial SSU rRNA". It matches the Rfam family "Bacterial small subunit ribosomal RNA", at positions 29 to 524 of the family's 1533-position model. The record is from RNAcentral.